ACGUUAGCGGCGGACGGGUGAGUAACACGUGGGUAACCUACCUAUAAGACUGGGAUAACUUCGGGAAACCGGAGCUAAUACCGGAUAAUAUUUCGAACCGCAUGGUUCGAUAGUGAAAGGUGGUUUUGCUAUCACUUAUAGAUGGACCCGCGCCGUAUUAGCUAGUUGGUAAGGUAACGGCUUACCAAGGCGACGAUACGUAGCCGACCUGAGAGGGUGAUCGGCCACACUGGAACUGAGACACGGUCCAGACUCCUACGGGAGGCAGCAGC
RNAcentral lists this ribosomal RNA (272 nucleotides) under uncultured Staphylococcus sp. RNAcentral's name for it is "partial 16S ribosomal RNA". It matches the Rfam family "Bacterial small subunit ribosomal RNA", at positions 89 to 355 of the family's 1533-position model. The record is from RNAcentral. Lineage: Bacteria; Bacillati; Bacillota; Bacilli; Caryophanales; Staphylococcaceae.